This 84-nucleotide transfer RNA is filed under the name Promethearchaeota archaeon. Its description in RNAcentral is "Candidatus Lokiarchaeota archaeon tRNA-Ser". It matches the Rfam family "tRNA". Rfam says of the family: Transfer RNA (tRNA) molecules are approximately 80 nucleotides in length. Their secondary structure includes four short double-helical elements and three loops (D, anti-codon, and T loops). The record is from RNAcentral. Lineage: Archaea; Promethearchaeati; Promethearchaeota.
GCAACGGUAGCGCAGCCUGGUAACGCGCUGGCCUGGAAAGCCAGUGUCCUUGCGGACUCAUGGGUUCGAAUCCCAUCCGUUGCG